This 301-nucleotide ribosomal RNA is filed under the name uncultured bacterium. RNAcentral describes it as "partial 16S ribosomal RNA". It matches the Rfam family "Bacterial small subunit ribosomal RNA", at positions 509 to 807 of the family's 1533-position model. The record is from RNAcentral.
CAGUAGCCGCGGUAAUACGAAGGGGGCUAGCGUUGUUCGGAAUUAUUGGGCGUAAAGAGCUCGUAGGCGGUCUGUCGCGCCUGCUGUGAAAACUGGAGGCUCAACCUCCAGCCUGCAGUGGGUACGGGCAGACUAGAGUGCGGUAGGGGAGAUUGGAAUUCCUGGUGUAGCGGUGGAAUGCGCAGAUAUCAGGAGGAACACCGAUGGCGAAGGCAGAUCUCUGGGCCGUAACUGACGCUGAGGAGCGAAAGCAUGGGGAGUGAACAGGAUUAGAUACCCCCGUAGUCCCUGUCUCUUAUAC